Molecule: non-coding RNA, 186 nt
Organism: Podarcis lilfordi (Lilford's wall lizard)
Lineage: Eukaryota; Metazoa; Chordata; Lepidosauria; Squamata; Lacertidae
Source: the annotation of a GenBank genome assembly
UUUGAACACAGGAAAGCUCACCCGGCCCAGACAUGGAAAGGAUUGAGAGAUUGAUAGCUCUUUCUUGAUUCUGUGGAUGGUGGUGCAUGGCUGUUCUUAACUGUUGGAGUGAUUUGUCUGGUUAAUUCCGAUAACAAGCGAGACUCUGGCAUGCUAACUAGUUAUGCGACCCCCAAGCAAUGUGGG